CGGCGCGACAUGUAAAAAAAACCUACCCUUUUUUACAAAAUACUCAAUAACUCAAAAAUAAAAUUUUGAGUCAUCACCAAAAAGUAUACAGAUCUUUAGAUUAAUAUAACAAAGAAGCGUGUAAAGUUUUAAACAAUAAUCAUAAAUCGUUUUUGAGAUUCAGCACGACAUGUAAAAAAACCCUCCCCCUUUUUUACAAAAUACUCAAUAACUCAAAAAUGAAAUUUUGAAUCAUCACCAAAAAGUAUACAGAUCUUUAGAUUAAUAUAAAAAAGAAGUGUGUAAAGUUUUAAGCAAUAAUCAUAAAUUGUUUUUGAGAUACGGCGCGACAUGUAAAAAAACCCUCCCCCCUUUUUUACAAAAUACUCAAAAACUCAAAAAUGAAAUUUUGAAUCAUCACCAAA
This 404-nucleotide long non-coding RNA is filed under the name Mytilus galloprovincialis (Mediterranean mussel). The record is from RNAcentral. Lineage: Eukaryota; Metazoa; Mollusca; Bivalvia; Mytilida; Mytilidae.